Molecule: transfer RNA, 92 nt
Filed under: Lentzea pudingi
Lineage: Bacteria; Bacillati; Actinomycetota; Actinomycetes; Pseudonocardiales; Pseudonocardiaceae
Description: tRNA-Ala
Source: RNAcentral
GCGGCCAUCGGCCUGGCGGGCACGGUGCUGGCGGCUCCGGGGGUGGCGACGGCGGACACGUGCGAGUGGGUCGUGUCCAAAGUGGCCGUGCC